AGGAAAACAAUAUUUUCUACGUGACUAAAUAGGAGGCUAAUAAUUCAUCAAUCCCACAUGCCAGACACCGUGCUCCUUCCCUACCUUCGAGCCCCGCUGCCGCCGUCGUCCGCCUGCCACCGCAACGACUCCUCCGCAUGCCGCGCUAGGCGUUCGAUCACCCGCCGUCGCCACGGAUGAAGGAACUCAUCCGGCGCCCGGCGGCCCUGCGGGUAACCAGCAAGACACAUACCUGCUGAUGCAGCCUGGAUAUCAUUGCCCAUGGAAUCCCUGACAUGGAGAACAAGCUUUGUGCUGUAAUUCCGGUGGGCCGCGUAGAAAUCUUCGACGGCCAAAGAAAUGCUGGUCCGUGCCACUUUUCCCACCAGCGAGCCCAGAUUGAGGAUCACUCCGACAUGGAACUCGUCUGCUUUGCUGGUGGUGUCCUGAGCUACUCCGAGAUCGCCAAGGAGCAAGAGCAACAGGAAGAGGAUGGUUCGGGGUGUUUUCUCCAUUCCGCGGGGCACCACAAGGUCUUAGAUUCUUUGGUGCUGAGAUGCACUGAAUUGCACCCUCUUAUGUAGGAUUAUACUUGUUGAAGACUUUUCCGUUUAACAAUAGUGCCACUAGUCAAACUGAAAGUUGCAAGGCAAAUCCGCACAGCUGUGACAGAUAAGUUGUCUAUUACCAGCAUCUUUCUUCG
Hordeum vulgare subsp. vulgare (domesticated barley) is the source of this 682-nucleotide long non-coding RNA. RefSeq lists it as uncharacterized. NCBI's taxonomy places the organism in Eukaryota, Viridiplantae, Streptophyta, Magnoliopsida, Poales, Poaceae. The transcript is spliced from 2 exons. The record is from RefSeq and is a predicted model, not a curated record.